RNAcentral lists this ribosomal RNA (460 nucleotides) under uncultured bacterium. Its description in RNAcentral is "partial 16S ribosomal RNA". It matches the Rfam family "Bacterial small subunit ribosomal RNA", at positions 338 to 795 of the family's 1533-position model. The record is from RNAcentral.
CCUACGGGGGGCAGCAGUGAGGAAUAUUGGUCAAUGGACGAGAGUCUGAACCAGCCAAGUAGCGUGAAGGAUGACUGCCCUAUGGGUUGUAAACUUCUUUUAUAUGGGAAUAAAAUGUUCCACGUGUGGGAUUUUGUAUGUACCAUAUGAAUAAGGAUAGGCUAACUACGUGCCAGCAGCCGCGGUAAUACGGAGGAUCCGAGCGUUAUCCGGAUUUAUUGGGGUUAAAGGGAGCGUAGGUGGAUUGUUAAGUCCGUUGUGAAAGUUUGCGGCUCAACCGUAAAAUUGCAGUUGAAACUGGCAGUCUUGAGUACAGUAGAGGUGGGCGGAAUUCGUGGUGUAGCGGUGAAAUGCUUAGAUAUCACGAAGAACUCCGAUUGCGAAGGCAGCUCACUGGACUGCAACUGACACUGAGGCUCGAAAGCGUGGGUAGCAAACAGGAUUAGAUACCCUAGUAGUC